RNAcentral lists this ribosomal RNA (253 nucleotides) under uncultured bacterium. RNAcentral's name for it is "partial 16S ribosomal RNA". It matches the Rfam family "Bacterial small subunit ribosomal RNA", at positions 524 to 776 of the family's 1533-position model. The record is from RNAcentral.
UACAGAGGUCUCAAGCGUUGUUCGGAUUCAUUGGGCGUAAAGGGUGCGUAGGCGGCGGGGUAAGUCGGAUGUGAAAUCCCGGGGCUCAACCCCGGAACUGCAUUCGAUACUGCCUUGCUAGAGUACUGGAGAGGAGACUGGAAUUUACGGUGUAGCAGUGAAAUGCGUAGAUAUCGUAAGGAAGACCAGUGGCGAAGGCGGGUCUCUGGACAGUUCCUGACACUGAGGCACGAAGGCCAGGGGAGCAAACGGG